Molecule: ribosomal RNA, 207 nt
Filed under: Clostridioides difficile
Lineage: Bacteria; Bacillati; Bacillota; Clostridia; Peptostreptococcales; Peptostreptococcaceae
Description: partial 23S ribosomal RNA
Rfam family: Bacterial large subunit ribosomal RNA
Source: RNAcentral
GUAGCGGCGAGCGAACGCGGAUUAGCCCAAACCAAUAAAGUUUUCUUUAUUGGGGUUGCGGACAUAUCAUAACGAAGAGGUAUCGUAAUUGAAGAGGUUUGGAAAGACCCACCACAGAAGGUAAUAGGCCUGUAUGUUAAACGAGAAGACUUUAGAUAUGAUCCAGAGUACCACGGGACACGUGAAACCCUGUGGGAAGCAGGAGGG